AAGAAAUGAUUUUUCAAGUCAUCUAACUAGGCAUUCAGAGGCCACUGUGGCUGUGUUGGAGGAGGGGAAGCUGUAUUUCAAGCAGGCAGAAGAUUCUGGCCUCCAACAGGACCACACCUCCUAACCCUUCUAAAUAGUUAAUCAGCUGGGGACUAAGAAUGCAAAUGUGUGAGCCUAUGAGGCACAUUCCCAUUCCAGUGACCACGACAAGAAAGUGUGUUUCUCUGCAGCUUCCAGAAGGGAAAACAGCCUUACAAAUUUCUUGGCUUUAGCCCAGUCAAAUCUUUGUUGGAUUUAAAACCUACAGGUUAAUAAAAUUAAUGCAUUCAGUAAGCCACUAAACUAGUGGAAAUUUGUUAUGUCCACAAUAGAAAUACUGUCAAUUCUAUGUGGGAGGAAGAAGGAAAUGGCCACCAUAGUAGAGACAACUAUAUGUAUCACCUUGAAACAUGUACAUUGCCAUGGUUAAAAACAAAUAUGGUUAUAAGAAACACUACUCCUAGAGGCUCAGAAGGAAAUAAAGAACGGUUACAGUAAAUUGGAGGAAAGAUCUUUGGUACAUGGUGGCACAGUUUGGCAGGAUUGUCUCCUGUUUUGAGGAACACAUCAUUAACAAUGAACUUGUACAUUCAGCAGAGUGCUUUUGCAGUUACUGAGGACGGAAGGGCUUGGCUGGUGCUAGCCAGUAGGCAGAGGGUAUUUUUGAGAACUGUGUUAUUAGUAUACUUGAUGGUUUAUAGAUCCUUCAUGUAAAAAUCUGAAGUAAAGAAGUCAAAAAGUGUCAAUGAUAAAACAGAACCCUAUUGUGAUGAUUUGGGAAAUUUGGAGGCUGUACAAAUCACAAAUUCAGGAUUUGCGCUUCAUUGCUAGCUGCUUGGUUUCAUAAAAAAACCCAAACUCCCCAUAAAAUCAAGGAUUCACUGCUUGUUACCAGCUGCAUGGCUAUGUGUGAGGGACUCAGUCUCCCCAUCAAAUUCAAGAUUGUGUGGUUGUUGCCAACCGCAUAACUGUGUAAGGAACUUACUCUCUCCAUCAAGUUCAGGAUCUAUUGCUCAUUGCUAGUUGCAUGGUUUUGUGUGAGAGGAUUAGCCUCUGUAAGCAUCUGUGAAAAAUAUAAGAGCAUGUAUUCACAGAUGGCAUCUAUGCCAUAAAGCACCGGGCAAUGUUUAAUCUUCUUACAGUAAUCUCAGUAACUUGCCUCAUGCACCAUAUAUUUUGGGAGGACAAGUCUAUUUUUUCAAAACAAUUUCAAAACAAUACUCUAAUAUACUUAUUGCACC
Molecule: long non-coding RNA, 1280 nt
Filed under: Mus musculus (house mouse)
Lineage: Eukaryota; Metazoa; Chordata; Mammalia; Rodentia; Muridae
Description: long non-coding RNA chr5:89590124-89591404
Source: RNAcentral